AGGAAAGGAGAGAAGGGCACAUGAAGGAUGCCUUGGCUCUCGGAGGCGAAGAAGGACGUGACAAGCUGCGAAAAGCCGCGCCCAGGGGCAAAUACCCGUUGAAGCGCGGAUGUCCGAAUGGGGCAACCCGGCGGAGCGAACCUCCGCCACCUGGCAUUGCCAGGGGCCAACCCGGGGAACUGAAACAUCUAAGUACCCGGAGGAAAAGAAAACAACAGUGAUUGCGCGAGUAGUGGCGAGCGAAAGCGCAGGAGCCCAAACCGGAGGUGUGGCAACGCACCGUCCGGGGUUGUAGGACCGCCGACAAAGGCACCCGCACAGGUUAGGGGAAAGUGCUGGAAAGCACUUCCACAGAGGGUGAAAGACCCGUACCCGAAAACGUGUGCGCAGCCGAGGCGGCACCUGAGUAGUGCGGAACACGAGAAAUUCUGCAUGAAUCCGCGGGGACCAUCCCGCAAGGCUAAAUACUACCGAGAGACCGAUAGCGAACCAGUACCGUGAGGGAAAGGUGAAAAGAACCCCGAACAGGGGAGUGAAACAGACCCUGAAAUCAUGUGCCUACAAGCGGUCGGAGCUGCUCCGUGCAGUGACGGCGUGCCUUUUGCAUA
RNAcentral lists this ribosomal RNA (608 nucleotides) under Muribaculaceae bacterium. Its description in RNAcentral is "partial 23S ribosomal RNA". It matches the Rfam family "Bacterial large subunit ribosomal RNA", at positions 1 to 614 of the family's 2925-position model. The record is from RNAcentral. Lineage: Bacteria; Pseudomonadati; Bacteroidota; Bacteroidia; Bacteroidales; Muribaculaceae.